Molecule: long non-coding RNA, 1679 nt
Filed under: Portunus trituberculatus (swimming crab)
Lineage: Eukaryota; Metazoa; Arthropoda; Malacostraca; Decapoda; Portunidae
Description: uncharacterized LOC123498792
Source: RNAcentral
ACUCCCUGGACUCUCCAAGGAUUGGCCUCUCCUCUGCUGUCCUGGCUUCACCCUCUACCUGCUUCCCGGCGCCGUCAACGAGUCUGCCUCCAGUGUUGGUGAGAUUAGUGUUUCUCUGGCCGUCACUCGCUCUGGAGGGAGAGUCAUGCUUUUAAAGGAGCCGUAGGUAAGGCUGAUGUUUGGUCUGCAGCUCACAACGCCUACCCUAAGCAUAACACCAGCCAUUGGGAGAUCUACCUACUGAAAAGGUCAAUGAGGCCAUUAAUGCUAAACCGGACCAAAGAAGCUACUUCCGGAUGAAGUGUUAUAAUUGGGGAAAACGGUCGUGUGAGGUCUUAAGUGUCCACAAAAUCUCACAGCCUUUAAAGAACCACAGGACAAAUACAAGGUAGGGUUUUGUAUGGAUGAGCGGUCUCUCCCAGAUUAUGCAGUUGCCGGCAUGAUCAAUGGCUCCUGGGCUACUACUAGUCAGACACCGGCUGCAACUGCGUGAUCGUCUCUGAGAAGGCAGUGCCUGAUGCUGGCGUCUCGGCGACAUAAGAAUUGCAACCCUUGGACGUGACUCCAAAGUUAACACCGGUGAAGAGGAGCGGACAAAGGACGGCACUACUUUUGUUACCUUCGUUGUACUGGACUUCUCUACUGGAAGUGUUUGACCUCGAAACAUCCAGCAAAGGUUAGUAAGCUCACUCUUGUUCCUAAGGAUUGUCGACCAAUAAUCCUGUCUGUUGGCCGUGAAAACCCUUUAGCAGGUCAUUUCUCUCGCAGAAAGACCUUGAAGGUAUCCAGCCACUUCCUGGGAUGGGCGCGGAUAUUAGACUUCUGUCGAUCCUGUGGCGUCUGUCAACGAUUGUCUGCCAAAGGAGUCUGACCAGCACCUCUCCAUCCUCUUCCAAUUAUAACAGAACCUUUUCCCAGAGUGGCAGUAGAUUUGGUUGGACCACUGUCUCCCCAUCCUCAGAAGGCCACGGGUACAUCCUCAUUUUAAUCGACUGCCACUGGAUUCCCAGAAGCCGUGCCACUGAAGGAAAUAGACUCCAUCUUCGUUGCUGAGGCCUUACUAUCCAUCUUCGCUAGAGUCUGUAUACCACGAGGAAUUCUCACUGAUUAAGUUGUUAGGGACUCCUUUAUUUAGGACUCCAUUUCAUCCUGGCACUAAUGGUCGCAUUGAACGUCUACAUGCACCACUUAAAACUUCCCUACGAAAGCUCUGUAAGGACCGCCCUCGAGAGUGGCACAGAUACUUGAUUCCUACAUUAUUCGCCCUCAAGAGAUAUCCAGCGAUAGAACCGGUUUCUCCGCCUUCCAACCUCUCUAUGGAAGGACUGUUUGGGACCUCCUCCGCCCUUGGAAGUCUAUGGGAGGACCGGAACCUGAAGGACGACGACCGAUCCGGUUUCCGCUACGUGGUAGAGCUACAGGAGAAGCUAGCAGAGACCGCGCAGAUCGCCACUAACAAUGCAGACAUCAGUGCCUCGAAAUAUAAGACCUACUUUGACAUCAAAGUGAAGAUACAGUUUCAACCUGGCGAUGAAGUCCUUCCCAGCGAUUCCAGCAAGCUUUAGAGCGACAAGGUAAGGGUGAUUGAUUACCUAAUUGAUUGUCCCCAAGGUCCGAAAUUGUACCACGUCAACCUCUUAAGACGUUACAUCCGUCGUGCUAGUGCCAGCUUUGCCGAA